UAUGUAGCUCUGCUCCGUCCACUUGUAAGUAUUUGAUUGGAUAAGGUGGAUCCUGUCAAGCUAAUUAUACAGUGGAUUGUGUGUUUUAUGUCUAUCUAUGACCUCCGCAAAAUGGACGGUGGUGAUUUAAAGUAAGUAACGACAAGAAGCAUUUUUCUUCUCAGUCUAAUCAUAUCUGCAUUAGUUGGGAUUGUAAAAUGAAUAGUGUUGGAUCUAUUUUGAGCGAUCCGAAUUCUUCUGCGACUUAUUUUCUAAUUAUUUUAAAUUCGCGACUUAUUUUUUAAUUAUUUUAAUGUUUAUUCGAGAUUUUUUAAGGAUAAACUGUAAAAAUAGAUACUUUUAUUUGUCUCAUGUAAUACCCAAAUUUUGCCAAGCCCUAUCAAUAAUAAAACCAAAUAAAAAUAAAAAAAUAAAUGUCCAGUUUUUAUUACAACAGCAGGCCCAAUUAAUUUACCUAAAAUACAUUUCCCAAACCCGAAUAGCCCAACACCAGACCCAAACCCUAGCCCAACUCGAACUGGCCCAUUUUCUUGAAGCAUCCAGAAACCCCUAGGGUUUCUGGAGCGAUUUGCGCCGCAGCCUAGCCAGACUCCUCACCGCGCACGCAUCGGCCUCCCCCACGUACGUCUCGCCUCCAGUUGUACCUGCAGCAACAAACAACCAACAACAACAGCAAAAUAAAGGGGAAAAACGAGUAACAAACGGAAAAGAGGGAUUUUUUAUUUUUAUUAUUUGUAUUAUUUAUUAUUUCCAGCUAUUUAAGGCCAGGAAAGAAAUCUGCAAAAGGGGGAUUUUUACGAAAGCAAAAGACAAAGAAAAUUUGAAUACAGAUACAAAAAUAUUUUUGAAUACAAAGGUUUUUUUAUUUUAUUUUAUUCUACUUUGUUGGUGCUCAUCGUUCUUUUACUUUUUAUUAUAUAUAUAUUCUUUUUCUUUUUCUUUUUUUAAAAUAAAAAGAAGGGAAGAAAGGGAAACUUACCUUUUUCCGCCGGAACCACCGAGUUGAUGCCGUCUUUGUCGUAAUCGGAGCUUUGGCACAAGGCUGAACGUCGGCACUCAAGGGUUGGUGAAACCCUAAAGAAACUGUUUCUUUUUCGCUGCUUCAGGAAAAGGAAAACAAAAAUGUUUCUUAAUUUUUUUUUUUAAACUUAAAGAAGGAACAAAACGGCGCCGUUCAGUGGGGGGAGGGUUCGCGCAUUUCCACCCUAAAUGGGAAAUUCGCGCAGUUAGGCCUCCCUUUUUUGCGACAUGUUUUUAUUAAACCCUUUGUUCCUUUUUUAAUUUGGCCCAAAUGUUUUACCUUUAUUCAUUUCAGCCCGUGUCAAUGCACAGCAUUUUGGGGGGCGGAUUAUUAUUAAACUGGUCCCCCAUGUCAUUCAUGCGUUGCAAUCUUGCCCUCAAUUUAUUUUUAAUUCCAUUUGUCACUUGUUAGUUUUAUUUCAAUUGUAAAAUGAUAUUUUUUUUGUUUUCUUUUUUUGAGUUUAUUAUUAAUUCAUUAAUAUCAUUAUCUUAUUAUUAUUGUUAUAGUUUAUUAUCACUAUUCUUAUUGUACCCAUAGUAUUAAUAUAUCUGUUUAAUUCUCACUUGUUUUCUUAUAUAUUUAUAUUAUUUUAUAAUAUAUAUAUCUUUUUUAUAUACUUCCUGUAAUACCUAAUUUUAGCGCGGACUCACAUAUGGAAACAUAAUCUUUGAGGAUAUGCAAUCUUAGAUACGAUAUAUGCAAUCUUAGAUAUGAUAUUUAAUCUUAGAAGAUAUGAUUUUGUAAUCUUAGAGAUUUAAUUUGUAGAUACUCUUUAAUCUUCGCCUUUGAUGUAAUUGAUUUGUACCGUUGAAUUUGGGGAGGCUCAGCUAUAAAUAGAGGCCUCUCCCUUCAUUGAAAAAGAAAGAAUCAAUAAAAAAGGGAGAAAACGAUUGGCAGUUUUUUAAAGGUGACUUACUGUUUUCUUUUUUUUUCUUUUUCGAUUAUUUUUUACUUAUUUACGAUUUUAAAAAAGGGAGAAGGUGAUACCACUGCGAAUUUUAUUUAUUUAUUUUAUUUAAUCCUAAUAAAGUGACGCGUUUCAAAUGAUGGAGAUAUUUUUCUAUUCGAGCCCUAUGAGUUAUUCGCACCUUUUAAUUGGGCCCUUCAUUUUUUUUAAUUCUGUUGAUUUUCAAUUUAAUCCUUAAUCUUUCAUUUUAGGUUUUUAGUCUAUUUUAUUAAUUUUGUUAUUAUUAUUUUUAUUAUUGUAUUGUAUAUUAUUAUUAUACCUACAUAUAUGUGCGCAUAUGCAUGUUAAUAUAUAUACCUAUAUAUUUUAAACGUUUUAAUAUAUAUACAUACUUUAUUAUUAUUUUAUUUUCAUAGUUUUUUUAUACAUAUAUAUAUAUACACAUUUAUAUUUCA
This 2383-nucleotide long non-coding RNA is filed under the name Gossypium barbadense (sea-island cotton). Its description in RNAcentral is "long non-coding RNA (GBAR_LNC018959)". Lineage: Eukaryota; Viridiplantae; Streptophyta; Magnoliopsida; Malvales; Malvaceae. The record is from RNAcentral.